GAUGAACGCUAGCUACAGGCUUAACACAUGCAAGUCGAGGGGAAACGACAUCGAAAGCUUGCUUUUGAUGGGCGUCGACCGGCGCACGGGUGAGUAACGCGUAUCCAACCUGCCCACCACUUGGGGAUAACCUUGCGAAAGUAAGACUAAUACCCAAUGAUAUCUCUAGAAGACAUCUGAAAGAGAUUAAAGAUUUAUCGGUGAUGGAUGGGGAUGCGUCUGAUUAGCUUGUUGGCGGGGUAACGGCCCAACAAGGCAACGAUCAGUAGGGGUUCUGAUAGGAAGGUCCCCCACAUUGGAACUGGGACAAGGACAAAAUGCCUACGGGAGGCAGUAGUGAGGAAGAUUGGACAAUGGACGAGAGUCUGAACCAGCCAAGUAGCGUGCAGGAUGACGGCCCUAUGGGUUGUAAACUGCUUUUAUAAGGGAAUAAAGUGAGUCUCGUGAGGCUUUUUGCAUGUACCUUAUGAAUAAGGACCGGCUAAUUCCGUGCCAGCCGCCGCCGUAA
This 508-nucleotide ribosomal RNA is filed under the name uncultured bacterium. Its description in RNAcentral is "partial 16S ribosomal RNA". It matches the Rfam family "Bacterial small subunit ribosomal RNA", at positions 28 to 523 of the family's 1533-position model. The record is from RNAcentral.